GGAGUCUGGUCCGUGUCUCAGUACCAGUGUGGGGGACCUUCCUCUCAGAACCCCUACGCAUCCUCGCCUUGGUGGGCUGUUAUCUCACCAACUAGCUAAUGCGCCGCAGGUCCAUCUUAAAGCGGAGCCAAGAGCUCCUUUUCAAAUUCAAGAGAUGCCUCUCGAAUUCAUAUCCGGUAUUAGCCAAAGUUUCCUCUGGGGU
Molecule: ribosomal RNA, 202 nt
Filed under: uncultured Anaeroplasmataceae bacterium
Lineage: Bacteria; Bacillati; Mycoplasmatota; Mollicutes; Anaeroplasmatales; Anaeroplasmataceae
Description: partial 16S ribosomal RNA
Source: RNAcentral